This 468-nucleotide ribosomal RNA is filed under the name uncultured bacterium. Its description in RNAcentral is "partial 16S ribosomal RNA". It matches the Rfam family "Bacterial small subunit ribosomal RNA", at positions 28 to 507 of the family's 1533-position model. The record is from RNAcentral.
GACGAACGCUGGCGGCGUGCUUAACACAUGCAAGUCGAACGGAAAGGCCCUGCUUUUGUGGGGUGCUCGAGUGGCGAACGGGUGAGUAACACGUGAGUAACCUGCCCUUGACUUUGGGAUAACUUCAGGAAACUGGGGCUAAUACCGGAUAGGAGCUCCUGCUGCAUGGUGGGGGUUGGAAAGUUUCGGCGGUUGGGGAUGGACUCGCGGCUUAUCAGCUUGUUGGUGGGGUAGUGGCUUACCAAGGCUUUGACGGGUAGCCGGCCUGAGAGGGUGACCGGCGACAUUGGGACUGAGAUACGGAGCAGACUCCUACGGGAGGCAGCAGUGGGGAGUAUUGCACAAUGGGCGGAAGCCUGAUGCAGCAACGCCGCGUGCGGGAUGACGGCCUUCGGGUUGUAAACCGCUUUCGCCUGUGACGAAGCGUGAGUGACGGUAAUGGGUAAAGAAGCACCGGCUAACUACGUG